AACCUUUGCAAUGUGCGAAAGCACGACAAGGUUAAUCCGAGUGUCUCCUGCUAAAGGAGUCUUUUGCCGGUCAUAGAACCACCGGUGAAUAAGGGGUGGGCAAGUUCUGGUGUCAGCCGCCGCGGUAAAACCAGCACCUCGAGUGGUCAGGAGGUUUAUUGGGCCUAAAGCAUCCGUAGCCGGCUGCUCAAGUUUUCGGUUAAAUCUAUGCGCUUAACGUAUAGGCCGCCGAAAAUACUGGGCAGCUAGGGAGUGGGAGAGGUACACGGUACUCAAUAGGAAGGGGUAAAAUCCUUUGAUCUAUUGAUGACCACCUGUGGCGAAGGCGGUGUACCAGAACACGUUCGACGGUGAGGGAUGAAAGCUGGGGGAGCAAACCGG
This 381-nucleotide ribosomal RNA is filed under the name uncultured archaeon. Its description in RNAcentral is "bacterial SSU rRNA". It matches the Rfam family "Archaeal small subunit ribosomal RNA", at positions 345 to 727 of the family's 1478-position model. The record is from RNAcentral.